Molecule: long non-coding RNA, 110 nt
Organism: Rhagoletis zephyria (snowberry fruit fly)
Lineage: Eukaryota; Metazoa; Arthropoda; Insecta; Diptera; Tephritidae
Source: RefSeq, a predicted model, not a curated record
UACAUUAACAACUACAGCGAAAUCGAGGGGUUUUUUGACAUUUCGCUUUUAUCGAGUUCACUUUUUCGUAUUUUUGCUUCGAGUUCGCGAUUCGCUCCGCUUUAAAAAUG